This 434-nucleotide ribosomal RNA is filed under the name uncultured bacterium. Its description in RNAcentral is "partial 16S ribosomal RNA". It matches the Rfam family "Bacterial small subunit ribosomal RNA", at positions 29 to 507 of the family's 1533-position model. The record is from RNAcentral.
AGCGAACGCUGGCGGCAGGCCUAACACAUGCAAGUCGAACGAACCUUUCGGGGUUAGUGGCGGACGGGUGAGUAACACGUGGGAACGUGCCUUUAGGUUCGGAAUAACUCAGGGAAACUUGUGCUAAUACCGAAUGUGCCCUUCGGGGGAAAGAUUUAUUGCGUUUUGAGCGGCCCGCGUCUGAUUAGCUAGUUGGUUGAGGUAAUGGCUCACCAAGGCGACGAUCAGUAGCUGGUCUGUGAGGAUGAUCAGCCACAUUGGGACUGAGACACGGCCCAAACUCCUACGGGAGGCAGCAGUGGGGAAUCUUGCGCGAUGAGCGAAAGCGUGACGCAGCCGUGCCGCGUGAAUGAUGAAGGUCUUAGGAUUGUAAAAUUCUUUGAGCGGGGGCGAUAAUGACGGUACCCGGAGAAGAAGCCCCGGCUAACUUCGUG